AUUGAACGCUGGCGGCAUGCCUUACACAUGCAAGUCGAACGGCAGCACGGGUGCUUGCACCUGGUGGCGAGUGGCGAACGGGUGAGUAAUACAUCGGAACGUACCUUAUCGUGGGGGAUAACGCAGCGAAAGCUGUGCUAAUACCGCAUACGCCCUGAGGGGGAAAGCGGGGGAUCGAAAGACCUCGCGCGAUUAGAGCGGCCGAUGCCUGAUUCGCUUGUGGGGGGGGUAAAAGCCCACCAAGGCGACGAUCAGUAGCUGGGCUGAGAGGACGAUCAGCCACACUGGGACUGAGACACGGCCCAGACUCCUACGGGAGGCAGCAGUGGGGAAUUUUGGACAAUGGGGGCAACCCUGAUCCAGCAAUGCCGCGUGAGUGAAGAAGGCCUUCGGGUUGUAAAGCUCUUUUGUCAGGGAAGAAACACCGGCUCUAACACCGUCCGGGAAUGACGGUACCUGAAGAAUAAGCACCGGCUAACUACGUGCCAGCAGCCGCCGUAA
RNAcentral lists this ribosomal RNA (501 nucleotides) under uncultured bacterium. Its description in RNAcentral is "partial 16S ribosomal RNA". It matches the Rfam family "Bacterial small subunit ribosomal RNA", at positions 29 to 523 of the family's 1533-position model. The record is from RNAcentral.